GGAGUGGUAAGCUUGAGGGUUCGGAAGCAAAUGUCGUAAAGAGCUUCAUUAUCAAGAACCAUACACUCAUCUGCAUUUUCAACCAAUUGAUGGACAGAUAGGGUUGCGUUGUAUGGUUCUACCACCGUAUCAGAGACCUUGGGAGAGGGGAAAACAGAGAAAGUAAGCAUCAUUCGAUCAGGGUAUUCCUCCCUGAUCUUUGAAAUCAAAAGAGUACCCAUGCCAGAUCCAGUUCCACCUCCUAGAGAAUGGCACACCUGGAAACCUGAAAAGCAAAGCAACAUCAAUACAAAAGCAAAAUAACAGCAAUACCAACACAAGCAAAAGAGAGAUCCAAUCACAAACCCU
Molecule: long non-coding RNA, 348 nt
Filed under: Vitis vinifera (wine grape)
Lineage: Eukaryota; Viridiplantae; Streptophyta; Magnoliopsida; Vitales; Vitaceae
Description: long non-coding RNA (VVIN_LNC002587)
Source: RNAcentral